GAGGGUGUGCAAUAUAUGUCAGCGACAAGCCUGGUCAACAUGACUUCAAUCUUUUGAAGAAGCUUGUGCUCCCAGAUGGUUCUAUUCUGAGAGCUAAGCUCCCCGGAAGACCGACGAAGGACUGCCUAUUUACGGAUCCUGCUAGAGAUGGAAAAAGUCUAUUGAAGAUUUGGAAUUUGAAUGAUCUGUCGGGAGUUGUUGGGGUGUUUAACUGUCAAGGAGCAGGAUGGUGUAAGGUUGGAAAGAAGAACCUCAUUCACAAUGAAAAUCCCGACACGAUCACAGGGGUUAUUCGGGCAAAAGAUGUUAGUUAUCUGUGGAAGAUUGCAGGCGACUCCUGGACAGGGGAUGCAGUCAUAUUCUCCCAUCUUGCUGGAGAAGUUGUCUACCUACCAAAGGAUGCAUCAAUGCCCAUAACCUUGAAAGCUCGUGAAUACGAUGUCUUCACGGUUGUUCCCGUCAAGGAACUGGUUAAUCACAUCAACUUUGCUCCCAUAGGUUUGAUCAAGAUGUUCAACUCUGGAGGAGCUGUGAAAGAAUUGAACCAUCAACCUGGAAGUUCAAAUGUAUCAUUGAAAGUUCGCGGUUCCGGGCCAUUCGGGGCUUAUUCCUCGACCAAACCAAAGCGAG
Molecule: unclassified non-coding RNA, 630 nt
Filed under: Hevea brasiliensis (rubber tree)
Lineage: Eukaryota; Viridiplantae; Streptophyta; Magnoliopsida; Malpighiales; Euphorbiaceae
Source: RNAcentral